Aricia agestis (brown argus) is the source of this 122-nucleotide long non-coding RNA. RefSeq lists it as uncharacterized. The transcript is spliced from 3 exons. NCBI's taxonomy places the organism in Eukaryota, Metazoa, Arthropoda, Insecta, Lepidoptera, Lycaenidae. The record is from RefSeq and is a predicted model, not a curated record.
UAAAUCUUAAUAAUGCUGUUAAUGUGUAAACUAUUUAUUUGACGUUCAUAAGUGUUACUGUGUGACCUACAUGAAUAAAUUAUUUUGAUUUUGAUUUUACUACGUACCAUAUUCAUUUGAGA